UCAAUACAUGUUUACAAACAAGAGUUAUUGUGCGUUGGGCAUUAUUCAUUAAUUAUUAUUAUGACCAGCGCACAAUAACUUUUGUUUGUAAACAUGUUUU
RNAcentral lists this microRNA precursor (100 nucleotides) under Phlebotomus papatasi. RNAcentral's name for it is "microRNA mir-186". Lineage: Eukaryota; Metazoa; Arthropoda; Insecta; Diptera; Psychodidae. The record is from RNAcentral.